This 430-nucleotide ribosomal RNA is filed under the name uncultured bacterium. RNAcentral describes it as "bacterial SSU rRNA". It matches the Rfam family "Bacterial small subunit ribosomal RNA", at positions 354 to 796 of the family's 1533-position model. The record is from RNAcentral.
GUGGGGAAUAUUGCACAAUGGGCGCAAGCCUGAUGCAGCGACGCCGCGUGAGGGAUGACGGCCUUCGGGUUGUAAACCUCUUUCAGCAGGGAAGAAGCGCAAGUGACGGUACCUGCAGAAGAAGCGCCGGCUAACUACGUGCCAGCAGCCGCGGUAAUACGUAGGGCGCAAGCGUUGUCCGGAAUUAUUGGGCGUAAAGAGCUCGUAGGCGGUUUGUCGCGUCUGCUGUGAAAACCUAAGGCUCAACCUUGGGCUUGCAGUGGGUACGGGCAGACUAGAGUGCGGUAGGGGUGACUGGAAUUCCUGGUGUAGCGGUGGAAUGCGCAGAUAUCAGGAGGAACACCGAUGGCGAAGGCAGGUCACUGGGCCGCAACUGACGCUGAGGAGCGAAAGCAUGGGGAGCGAACAGGAUUAGAAACCCGGGUAGUCC